Molecule: small nucleolar RNA, 74 nt
Organism: Suncus etruscus (white-toothed pygmy shrew)
Lineage: Eukaryota; Metazoa; Chordata; Mammalia; Eulipotyphla; Soricidae
Product: small nucleolar RNA SNORD121A
Exons: 1
Source: RefSeq, a predicted model, not a curated record
UUUAAAAAAACAAAAGGACUCCAAGCACAUAUCUGAUGAUGCCGUGUGGAAAUAAAUUCCUGAGUUUCCUGGAC